ACGCGGCAACCCUGUCUGAACAAACGCUGACCGCAGCCGCCAGCGGCACGCAGGCCUGAGCGUGCACAGGAAAAUGUCCGCGAUGACCACGGUCGUGUGCACAGGAAACGUCCGUGACGACCACCGAGCUCAGAGGGCAGCGGCCACUGCAGGGACUCUCCUUAUCCCUUGCCUCUGAACGUUAAAAACAAAAAACUGCCGAGCAGGAUGGAGCCUUUGGGGGCCCAAAGUCCCUCCCACUGCUCGGCAGGCCUGGAAGGCCCCGCCCACCCAGCCUCAGUGCCAGGCCGGCACCUGCAGACACGGCUCCCUGGCGGAGGGCACCUCGAUGCUGCAGGGAAGCCGAUGUGGGGCGGCCAGAGGCACCGGACAUCACGCCAAACAGCGGGAGCACUGCAGACUCCCCCCUCCCCCGGGCCACCACUGACAGGCCGGGACAAGAGGGGACGUACUCGGAGAAGAGGCCUGGCAUGAGGCGCCCAGCUCUGCAGAGGGACACCCCACAGGAGACACCGGUCAGUCUGUGGGCAGCAAGGGCACCCCAAGGCCGGGAGCCCUGCAUGAGGAAGACACGCCCCGCGAGCCGGCACAGGACUGCCCACAGCCCUGAUCCCAUCUGCCAGGUCUAGGAUGCCCAGUGCCGGGGGCCCGUGACCUCUGACCUCACCCAUCUGCACGCCUGCCCCCAAGGCAGACUCGUGAGAAAUGGUGCCUCUGGCACAGGAGGUGCAGCCGCGGCCCUGGGUGCUCACCGGGACAGGCGGAGGUGAGCAUGGGCAGCGCCGGCUCCUCCUCGCUGUGCUGCUGGUACCGGCGCACAAACUCCUUCUGACUCUCCAGGAUGCUGAAGUCCGCGGCUACUGCUGUAUCGAAGACAUAGUGCACCCCUGCAGGAAAGAGGGGGCGCUCAGCUUCUCGUCACCUAUCGGGGGACCGCGGCGAGUCUGCAGACUCCACAGCACCGAGCUCUGCGUCUCCCUCUUACCUCGUCUGUACCACAGACCGCAUAAGCCCAGGACCGUGCCUCACCUUCUUCUUCAAACAACAAACAGGAUCAUUUUUCACAAGAAAAUAUGUAUGUUUUCUCUCUGGCUUGCUCUUGUUCUCUCUAGAUCUACACUGAUGCAAAACCUCACAGUAGCCGUAACGGUAACGUGAGAUUACACGGA
This is a long non-coding RNA of Mustela lutreola (European mink), 1169 nucleotides long. RefSeq lists it as uncharacterized. Lineage: Eukaryota; Metazoa; Chordata; Mammalia; Carnivora; Mustelidae. The transcript has 3 exons. The record is from RefSeq and is a predicted model, not a curated record.